This is a long non-coding RNA of Andrographis paniculata, 317 nucleotides long. RefSeq lists it as uncharacterized. NCBI's taxonomy places the organism in Eukaryota, Viridiplantae, Streptophyta, Magnoliopsida, Lamiales, Acanthaceae. The transcript has 3 exons. The record is from RefSeq and is a predicted model, not a curated record.
GAUAUUUGGCGGCAUCGUGCUCUUCUUGUUUGAUUUGUUUUUUAUUUGGGUGAUCUAAGCAGAAUAAUCAUCAAUCAAUGGAUAAGAGAAGGGAAUUGCCAUCUCCGUCAAUGACCAAUAUGGACGACGGAAGGGCUGGUUCAUUGAGCACUGGCAGAGUCCAAAGACAUGACGAAAGACACAUUUCUUUUGACAAUAAGAGCUUCAAACAGCUCAAACUGAAGGAUGCCCGGAGCCCGAAAUCUACACGGAUUUGCAAAAGUGGCGGGGAUGGAGAAGAUAUGCCGUAUUCGCUUAAGGAGAUGACGAAGUUUAUG